AUGUCCUGCAGCUCUUCCUAUAUUCACUAGGUCUCUUUUCUCUUACAGGGAAUACCGUUUGUUAAAGUAGCAACAGGAUGGCCUGGGCAAGGACUAGGAGCUGCCCGUGGGAUGGCAUAUACUGGCAAGUACUUUGACCAAGCCAGCUACCGGGUGUUCUGUCUUCUGGGGGAUGAAGAGUCCACAGAAGGCUCUGUUUGGGAGGCAUUUGCCUUUGCAUCCUACUACAAUCUGGACAAUCUUAUGGCAAUCUUUGAUGUGAACCGCAUUGGACACAGUAGCUCC
This 285-nucleotide long non-coding RNA is filed under the name Rattus norvegicus (Norway rat). RNAcentral's name for it is "long non-coding RNA NONRATT033904". The record is from RNAcentral. Lineage: Eukaryota; Metazoa; Chordata; Mammalia; Rodentia; Muridae.